RNAcentral lists this ribosomal RNA (253 nucleotides) under uncultured bacterium. RNAcentral's name for it is "partial 16S ribosomal RNA". It matches the Rfam family "Bacterial small subunit ribosomal RNA", at positions 524 to 776 of the family's 1533-position model. The record is from RNAcentral.
UACGAAGGGGGCUAGCGUUGCUCGGAAUCACUGGGCGUAAAGGGUGCGUAGGCGGGUUUUAAGUCAGGGGUGAAAUCCUGGAGCUCAACUCCAGAACUGCCUUUGAUACUGAAGAUCUUGAGUCCGGGAGAGGUGAGUGGAACUGCGAGUGUAGAGGUGAAAUUCGAUAGAUAUUCGCAAGAACACCAGUGGCGAAGGCGGCUCACUGGCCCGGUACUGACGCUGAGGCACGAAAGCGUGGGGAGCAAACAGG